RNAcentral lists this ribosomal RNA (485 nucleotides) under uncultured bacterium. Its description in RNAcentral is "bacterial SSU rRNA". It matches the Rfam family "Bacterial small subunit ribosomal RNA", at positions 133 to 636 of the family's 1533-position model. The record is from RNAcentral.
AUACAGGGGGAUAACAGUUAGAAAUGACUGCUAAUACCGCAUAAGCGCACAGGAUUGCAUGAUCCCGUGUGAAAAACUCCGGUGGUAUGAGAUGGACCCGCGUCUGAUUAGCUGGUUGGUGGGGUAACGGCCCACCAAGGCGACGAUCAGUAGCCGACCUGAGAGGGUGACCGGCCACAUUGGGACUGAGACACGGCCCAAACUCCUACGGGAGGCAGCAGUGGGGAAUAUUGCACAAUGGGGGAAACCCUGAUGCAGCAACGCCGCGUGAGUGAAGAAGUAUUUCGGUAUGUAAAGCUCUAUCAGCAGGGAAGAAAAUGACGGUACCUGAGUAAGAAGCCCCGGCUAACUACGUGCCAGCAGCCGCGGUAAUACGUAGGGGGCAAGCGUUAUCCGGAUUUACUGGGUGUAAAGGGAGCGUAGACGGUGAUGCAAGUCUGAAGUGAAAGCCCGGGGCUCAACCCCGGGACUGCUUUGGAAACUGU